AGAAUCAACGCUGGCGGCGUGCCUAACACAUGCAAGUCGAACGAGAAAGGGUAGCAAUACCUGAGUAAAGUGGCGCACGGGUGAGUAACACGUGACUAACCUACCCUGGAGUGGGGAAUAACUGAGGGAAACCUUAGCUAAUACCGCAUAAUACCUACGGGUCAAAGGAGCAAUUCGCUUCAGGAGGGGGUCGCGGCCGAUUAGUUAGUUGGCGGGGUAAUGGCCCACCAAGACAGUGAUCGGUAU
RNAcentral lists this ribosomal RNA (246 nucleotides) under uncultured bacterium. RNAcentral describes it as "partial small subunit ribosomal RNA". It matches the Rfam family "Bacterial small subunit ribosomal RNA", at positions 26 to 286 of the family's 1533-position model. The record is from RNAcentral.